AUGGAAGUGUUACUGUGGUUGCUUUAUGGCUAGCUUCAGCUCUUGUGGGUGCUGUUGAUGCAAUUCCAUUGUUCCCAAAGUUGAUGGAAAUUGUGGGUCUUGGCUACAUAUGCUGGUUUAGCUCUCGUUAUCUGUUAUUCAAGAAAAACAGGGAGGAGUUGGCUGCUCAAAUUCAAGACCUUAAGCAACAGCUUGUUGCCUUAAAUGAUGAGCUUAGAGAUCGUAUUUCGUCUGGGUCUAAUUUGGGCUUUUAAGUUCGGUUUUAAUGGAUUUAUUUUUGGUUUGAUUUCAAUAUUUAAGUUUCAGAUGUUUUUAGUUAUUAUAUUAUUUAUAUCAGCUUUUAUUAUUAUCUAAAAAGAAUAUAAAAUAAAAUAAAAUUGGUAUAGGGCUCCUUAGCCAUUAGCAUUCAAGUUGUUUCUUAGAUAAUCUAAAUGUUCAAGAUUCAAGUUACUUCUUAGACAA
This is a long non-coding RNA of Gossypium arboreum, 462 nucleotides long. RefSeq lists it as uncharacterized. The record is from RefSeq and is a predicted model, not a curated record. Lineage: Eukaryota; Viridiplantae; Streptophyta; Magnoliopsida; Malvales; Malvaceae. The transcript is spliced from 3 exons.